GUAUAGUUGAUUUAAACAAUGCUGUGUUAAUUUCCACUGUACAGCAAAGUUAUUCAGUUAUAUAUACAUAUAUAUAGUAUAUACACAUUCUUUUUUAUAUUCUUUUCCAUUAUGGCUUGUUAUAGGAUACUGAAUAUAGUUCCUUGUGCUAUAUAGAAUGACCUUGUUUUUUAUCCAUUCUGCAUACAAUAGCUUGCAUUUGCCGAGUUCCUGUUGUGGCGCAGCAGAAAAGAAUCAGACGGUAUCCAUGACGAUGCGGAUUCAAUCCCUGGCCUCACUCACUGGGUCUGGGAUCUGGCGUUGUUGUGAGCUGUGUGUAGCGUAGGUCACAGAUGCACUUCGGAUCUGACGUUGCUGUGGCUGUGGCAUAGACCGGCAGCAGCAGCUCCAAUUCGACUCCUGGCCUGCGAACUUCCAUAUGCCUUGGGUGUGGCCCUAAAAAGCAAAAAAAAAAGUUUACAUUUGCUAAUCCCAAACUCCCAUUCCAUCCCUCUCCCAACCUGCUCCCCAAUGGCAACCACAAGUCUGUUUUCUAUGUCUGUGAGUCUGAUUGUGUUUUGAAUCUAUUCUUUUAAAAGUCCCUUCAAUUAGAAAUGAAAAGGUUAUUUUAAAAAAAUAAUAAUCUAACCAAUUAACAAGGAUACAAUUCUGUCUGUUAAAACAUUUUGACAAUGAUGUCGAAAUUAGCCAAUUUUCCUAUAAAUUAUUAUUCUAUUUUCAAAAGAAAAUCAAAGCAUAAACUUCCCUUUAUCUCUUAGAUGAAUGGAAUAAUAUAUGAAAAGCUAUUAAUAUACUUUAAAAGCAGCCAACAGCCCCAUAACAGAAAAAAAAUAUUCUUGUAUAACACCUAUAAGCUAAUAUGAAAAAUCCGUUUCCAUUAAGUUCUGACCUUCCAGGUCACUUAAACUCUCCUUUCACUCAGAUCUAAACCAGAGAAGUAACAUUCUGCUUCGCUCAUAAAUAUGUUGAAAAACAUGUGAAACCCCUCUUGUAAACUCCUCAUUAUUUAUUCAUCCAACCAACCAAAAUGUAUUGACCACUUUGUACUUUUUAGGGUUAUAUACAUAACUAAGACACAUGUAUAAAACUAAUUAAUCAUAUACAUAACUAAUUAGAGCUAUGCCUCUAAUUUUUUGAGUUAGAGAAAUUCACAACUCUAUUGAUUAUCCAGCAGCAUAAUUAUAACUAAUGCAACUCUAUCUGGAAACUCUAUGCACAAUUCCUAGUGUUUGUUGUCACAUACUGGUUAUGAGGUCUUUGGCAUUCGUGCCCUCUUACUGGGGCAACCCAUGUCUUCUGAAGAGGGAUGUGAAAGGAAUGGGGUUAUUCUGAGCUUGGAAAACAGAAGUACAAAGCUAUUUUAGAAGGCACUGUGGGAGAAAUGAGAAAUGACAUCUAAACAAAACUAGAGGAACAGGGAAGAUUUUGCAGAGAAAGUGAAACAAAUUUUAAAAAAUCAGGUCUGAGUCAUCUAGGCAGGGACUUCUAGCCUGUGAGAAAAUUAAUUUCUGGGGGUUUGUUGUUGUCGUUCAUUUGUUCAAAAAGAAAGAAGUGUUUAUUCAGAUAAGAGAUGCUGCUAGCAUAGUGGGACGACCUCCUGAUGUUAGGGAGAGCCAAUCCCAAGGAGACACCUGCUGACCUGCUGAUUGGUUGGGGAAAGAGGGGUCUUACGAUAUACUUGCUGGUUGGUUGGAGGCAGAUAAGACCUCUAUAGGGGCAGGGUGAGGAGGGGGCUACAUGCCUUUCUUAGUAGGGGGCAGGAAGGAGUAGGCCAGGUUGCUCAAGUUUGCUCCGCCCUCAGGUUGGUGGAGGGGGUCUGUCAUUUAAGCCAUGUCUAUGGUGUUUUGUUAUAUGGCAGCUCUAGCAGCCACACACAGUCCCCUAUGACUAGAGAUAGGAGAAGGGAUCAGAAAAGGUAGAAGGUGAGGCUCAGAUGAGUUCCUAUAGAGGUGCUAGCUGCCAUCAUGAUUACCUCUCACUCAUGGGGUGUGGCCUUGGUAGCAGGAUAAUUCCUGAUGAGUCCCUUCCUCUACAGAAGCCAUCUCUCUCCCUGAUGCAAUACCCUGUGCCCACUCUUGUGACUUUACAUCUUGAGGCUGCAAUGCAGGAAGAAAAGACCUGUGAAGGCAUCCAUUCCAACAGCUGAGGCACAGGGCCUGACCCAGCUUCUGGAGCUGCCUGGGGUGUUGCCACUUGCAAGCUGGUUCUCUAGCCUCCCUUCAAUUCUUUAAGCCUCAAUAUCUUUUAAAUAAAGUCUACUUUGCUUAGGAAAGACAGAAUCAUUUCCUGUUUCAGCUAAGGUCCUUGGUUGCAAACAUUUCCAUCACUUUCCUGACUGAAGAAUGAGAAAGAUAGAUGACUAGACCAACAGGAUUGCUGGGUGGCACUGGGGAGCAAAUUUACUUAAGAAAUAACUUUGUAAAAUUAUCACUCCUCAAUGGUGUUAUUUUUCCCAGCAGUAUUCUGCAGCCUGAAGGUCCCAUCAUGGCUCAGCAGCAACGAACCCAACAAGUAUCCAUAAGGAUGUAGUUUCAAUCCCUUGCCUCGCUCAGUGGGUUAAGGAUCUGGCAUUGCCGUGAGCUAUGGUGUAGGUCACGGACUCAACUCGGAUCCCAUGUUGAUGUGGCUGUGGUAUUGGCCAGCAGCUGUAGCUCUAAUUCCACCCCUAGCCUGGGAACUUCCAUAUGCCAUGGGUGUGGCCCUAAAAAAGAAAAAAAAUAUUUCCCUGAGAUAUUUUGUAUUCAUCCAUAAGAUAGAGGAAUUUUUUGUUUGUUUUUGUUUUUGUUUUUUAGUAUUACUUCUGGACCUCCCAUUUUGGCUCAGUGGAAACAAUGUGACUAGGACCCAUGAGGAUGCAGGUUCAACUCCUGGCUUUGUUCAGUGGGCUAAGGAUCCGGCAUCGCCAUGAGCUAUGGCAUAACCCCCCGUCACAGAUGCAGCUCGGAUCUGGCAUUGCUGUGGCUGUGGUGUAGGCCAGUAGCUGUAGCUCCAAUUUGACGCCUAGCCUGAGAACUUCCAU
Molecule: long non-coding RNA, 3019 nt
Filed under: Sus scrofa (pig)
Lineage: Eukaryota; Metazoa; Chordata; Mammalia; Artiodactyla; Suidae
Description: lncRNA (ENSSSCG00040073413.1, ENSSSCG00050010126.1)
Source: RNAcentral